This 501-nucleotide ribosomal RNA is filed under the name uncultured bacterium. Its description in RNAcentral is "partial 16S ribosomal RNA". It matches the Rfam family "Bacterial small subunit ribosomal RNA", at positions 30 to 523 of the family's 1533-position model. The record is from RNAcentral.
AUUGAACGCUGGCGGCAGGCUUAACACAUGCAAGUCGAGCGGGGGAAGGUAGCUUGCUACCGGACCUAGCGGCGGACGGGUGAGUAAUGCUUAGGAAUCUGCCUAUUAGUGGGGGACAACAUCUCGAUAGGGAUGCUAAUACCGCAUACGUCCUACGGGAGAAAGCAGGGGAUCUUUGGACCUUGCGCUAAUAGAUGAGCCUAAGUCGGAUUAGCUAGUUGGUGGGGUAAAGGCCUACCAAGGCGACGAUCUGUAGCGGGUCUGAGAGGAUGAUCCGCCACACUGGGACUGAGACACGGCCCAGACUCCUACGGGAGGCAGCAGUGGGGAAUAUUGGACAAUGGGGGGAACCCUGAUCCAGCCAUGCCGCGUGUGUGAAGAAGGCCUUAUGGUUGUAAAGCACUUUAAGCGAGGAGGAGGCUACUUUAGUUAAUACCUAGAGAUAGUGGACGUUACUCGCAGAAUAAGCACCGGCUAACCCUGUGCCAGCAGCCGCCGCGG